GGGGAAAUGCCGGAGCGGUCAAACGGGAUGCGUUAAGGGCGCAUUGGCUUAUGCCUACGGGGGUUCGAAUCCUCCUUUCCCCA
This 83-nucleotide transfer RNA is filed under the name Nanobdellota archaeon. RNAcentral's name for it is "tRNA-Leu". It matches the Rfam family "tRNA". Rfam says of the family: Transfer RNA (tRNA) molecules are approximately 80 nucleotides in length. Their secondary structure includes four short double-helical elements and three loops (D, anti-codon, and T loops). Lineage: Archaea; Nanobdellati; Nanobdellota. The record is from RNAcentral.